This 1333-nucleotide long non-coding RNA is filed under the name Heterocephalus glaber (naked mole-rat). Its description in RNAcentral is "lncRNA (ENSHGLG00000036240.1)". The record is from RNAcentral. Lineage: Eukaryota; Metazoa; Chordata; Mammalia; Rodentia; Bathyergidae.
UUUUUUUGUACCGAGGGAUCGAACUCAGGACCUUGUGCUUGCAAGACAGGCUCCAGAACCACUGAGCUGAAUCCCCAGCCCUAAAAGUUUUUCUUUUUAAAGAGGUGGUUGGGGGAUACAGCUCAGUGCCAAAGCCCUGGCUCAGUAAGAAACAAGUGGGAGGAGGGAGGGUGGGAGGCCCGGCUUGGACACAAGUCAAGGCCACUGCUAGCCAACAGUGCACCUUUGGAUCACUUAGAAAAAUGCAUGCCGGGAGCGUGAUUUUUAAUCACCUUGCCCUUCUUCAGGCAAGACAGGCCCAGACCCACCCCGCGCUGCCGCUGCCGCUGCCCUUGCCACCCCCGCCAGCCCGCGAGCGCGACGGGAAGCUGCUGGAGGUGAUCGAGCGCAAGCGCUGCGUGUGCAAGGAGAUCAAAGGCGCGCCACCGCCCGGACCGCGGUCUCUGCAAGCAGGAGAGCAUGCCCAUCCUCCCUAGCUGGCGGCGGGGCCCGAGCCCCGGAAGUCCGGCACCCCGCCUUGUCGCCGGCAGCACACGGUCCUCUGGGACACGGCCAUCUGAGGGGGUGGGCGGCCCAGGCACCUGGACUGGGGUGGGGUGGGGAGCAGGGCAGGCCCGGCUGGACAGACUGAAGAACCAGGUGAGAGCGCCAGGGAGACCCGGCCUUCCACACUUGUAGCCCCCGGGACGGGGAGCCUGCCAGGCCCAUGGGGCGUGGGGUGCCCACAGCACCCCAAGACAUUGGGGAAGGUGGGGUUUGCUUGUGGGGGUCCGAUGGUGGUAGAACCCUCCUCCUGAGUGGGCAGAGGGCAGGGCAGAGGUGGCGGUGGGCAAGGGGAAGGAGGGAAGGGUCCAAUGGGUGGGUCAAAUGGAAGAGGGACUAGAGCCAGUGGGAGAGCCUCUCUGUCACAGAGCCGGGAUUUGGGGAGGGUCUUUAUUUUGUUAUUUAUUUUUGUCUGGAGGGCAGUUCCUGGCCCUUCUGACCCAUUCCUGAGCCAGGGUGGAGAACAAGGUCAAGCCUGCCCCUCUCCCCGUGGCCAAUGCCCUAAAGGCCCAGCCGUCCAUGCCCACCCCACAGUGAAGGAGGCGCCCCCCCCCCAGAGUAGAGGGAGCUGAGGGAGGGGCUCAGGCCAGCUGAGGGCCGCCGACCACUUACAGUAUUUACAGUUUUGCCCGAAUUUGGUAGUGAGCAAGGCCUGCUCUGAAACAGGCAUCUUCUUUAGUUCUAGGGUAAGGGGCUAGCGCCAGGGAUGGGUGGGGUGUGGGGAUGGAGGGAAAGUUUAGUGGGUGGGGGUGGGUGGGCAGGGUAUUUAUUUAAAUUUAAAAAACAAAAC